This 24-nucleotide non-coding RNA is filed under the name Cricetulus griseus (Chinese hamster). Lineage: Eukaryota; Metazoa; Chordata; Mammalia; Rodentia; Cricetidae. The record is from RNAcentral.
AACACAGAAAUGAUGUGGAAUCGG